Molecule: ribosomal RNA, 1374 nt
Filed under: uncultured bacterium
Lineage: Bacteria
Description: bacterial SSU rRNA
Rfam family: Bacterial small subunit ribosomal RNA
Source: RNAcentral
GACGAACACUGGUGGCGCUGCCUAAUACAUGUCCGUCAAAACAGAGCGACCGGAGCUUGCGCUGGUCAAUCUAGUGCCAAACGGGUAAGUGACACUGGCGUAACCAGCCCAUCUUAGGGGGAUAACCUUCGGACACGGAUGCUCAAACCUCGUAGGUCUUCUAACCGCAUGGUUUGAAGAGGAAAAGAGGCGCAAGCUUCUGCUGAUGGAUGGACCCGCGGUGCAUUAGCUAGUUGGUGAGGUAACCGCUCACCAGGGCCGUGAUGCAUAUCCGACCUGAGAGGGUGAUCGGCCAUCUUUGGGACUGAGACACAGCCCAGACUCCUACGGGAGGGAGCCGUCUGGAAUCUUCCUCACUGGACACAACUCUGACUCAACAACGCCGCGAGAGUGAAGAAGGCCUGCGGAUGUUACAACUCUGUUGUUCGAAAAGAAUAAGUGCUACAGCCGCUGGUGCCGCCUUGCACGGUAUCUAAUCAAAAAGCCACCGUUAACUACGUGUCACCAGCCGCAGUGCUACAUGCGUGAGCAGCGUUGCUCGGAUUUAUAGAGGGUCUAACGAGCGCAGCGGUUCCUUAAGUCUGAUGUGAAAGGCCGCGUCUCAACCGGGGGAGGGUCAUUGGAAACUGGGGAUCUUGAUUGCAGAAGAGGAGAGUGGAAUUCCAUGUGUAGCGGUGAAAUGCGUAGAUAUAUGGAGGAACACCAGUGGCGAAGGCGACUCUCUGGUCUGUAACUGACGCUGAGGCUCGAAAGCGUGGGUAGCAAACAGGAUUAGAUCCCCUGGUAGUCCCCGCCGUAAACGAUGAGUGGUAAGUGUUGGAGGGUUUCCGCCCUUCAGUGCUGCAGUUAACGCAUUAAGCACUCCGCCUGGGGAGUACGACCGCAAGGUUGAAAUUCAAAGGAAUUGACGGGGACCCGCACAAGCGGUGGAGCAUGUGGUUUAAUUUGAAGCAACGCGAAGAACCUUACCAAGUCUUGACAUCCUUUGACCACUCUAGAGAUAGAGCUUUCCCUUCGGGGACAAAGUGACAGGUGGUGCAUGGUUGUCGUCAGCUCGUGUCGUGAGAUGUUGGGUUAAGUCCCGCAUCGAGCGCACCCCUUAUUACUAGUUGCCAGCAUUGAGUUGGGCACUCUACUGAGACUACCGGUGACAAACCGGAGGAAGGUGGGGAUGACGUCAAAUCAUCAUGCCCGUUAUGAUCUGGGGUACUCACGUGUUACAAUGGAUGGUACAUCGAGCAGAGAACUCGUGAGGGUAAGCGAAUCUGUUAAAGCCAUUGUCAGUUAGGAGUGUAGGAUUCAUCUGGCAUGCACGAAGCCGGAAUCUCUAGUAAUCGCGGAUCAGCACGCGGCGGUGAAUAAGUUUUCGGCUUU